AUGGAGGCAGCUGGAAGGACCACACACCCCCACGGACAGAUUUGGAGCUGCAGCUCGAGGAGCAGCCAGUCCCCAGAGUAUCGUUCCGUGCAGGCGGCCAUCCCAGCUCCAGCCAAAUCCCACCCACCCUCCGAGGUGUGGCACUGGGAAAGAGAAAGGGGAGAAAGAAGAAAAGCAAACAGCCCUGGUACGAGCUCCUUCCCUCUGCUCGGGUUUCACAGCACCCAGGUCCAGACCCAGCAGCUCUCAGUAUGUGGGAGCCACCUGCCCUACCCCUCAGAUGGUCAUGUCACUGUGUGUAUGUUCUAACCACUGCCUUUAGUACAUAAAAUAACAUAUAUAUGUUAAAAAAAUAUAUAUUUAAUUUAUUAAACCAGAAGCAGUGUAAAGCAUAAGUGCCAAAUUCUGAUUUUAUUCCCAGGAGAACCAGUCACAC
Molecule: long non-coding RNA, 436 nt
Filed under: Calidris pugnax (ruff)
Lineage: Eukaryota; Metazoa; Chordata; Aves; Charadriiformes; Scolopacidae
Description: lncRNA (ENSCPUG00000012644.1)
Source: RNAcentral